UACGUAGGGGGCAAGCGUUGUCCGGAUUUAUUGGGCGUAAAGAGCUCGUAGGUGGCUCGGUAAGUCGGGUGUGAAAUUUCGAGGCUCAACCUCGAAACGCCACCUGAUACUGCCGUGGCUUGAGUCCGGUAGGGGAGCGUGGAAUUCCUGGUGUAGCGGUGAAAUGCGCAGAUAUCAGGAGGAACACCAGCGGCGAAGGCGGCGCUCUGGGCCGGUACUGACACUGAGGAGCGAAAGCGUGGGGAUCAAACAGG
RNAcentral lists this ribosomal RNA (254 nucleotides) under uncultured bacterium. RNAcentral's name for it is "partial 16S ribosomal RNA". It matches the Rfam family "Bacterial small subunit ribosomal RNA", at positions 524 to 776 of the family's 1533-position model. The record is from RNAcentral.